Ribosomal RNA from Sinocyclocheilus anshuiensis, 119 nucleotides. The record is from Ensembl. NCBI's taxonomy places the organism in Eukaryota, Metazoa, Chordata, Actinopteri, Cypriniformes, Cyprinidae.
GUUUACGGCCAUACCAUCCUGAGCAUGCCCGAUCUCGUCCGAUCUCGGAAGCUAAGCAGGGUCGGGCCUGGUUAGUACUUGGAUGGGAGACCGCCUGGGAAUUCCAGGUGCUGUAAGCU